Molecule: ribosomal RNA, 464 nt
Filed under: uncultured bacterium
Lineage: Bacteria
Description: bacterial SSU rRNA
Rfam family: Bacterial small subunit ribosomal RNA
Source: RNAcentral
ACGAACGCUGGCGGCAGGCCUAACACAUGCAAGUCGAACGCCGUAGCAAUACGGAGUGGCAGACGGGUGAGUAACGCGUGGGAACAUACCCCUCGGUUCGGAAUAACUCAGGGAAACUUGAGCUAAUACCGGAUACGUCCGAGGUUUUAAUCGACCUUGGAGAAAGAUUUAUCGCCGGAGGAUUGGCCCGCGUCUGAUUAGCUUGUUGGUGAGGUAAUGGCUCACCAAGGCGACGAUCAGUAGCUGGUCUGAGAGGAUGAUCAGCCACAUUGGGACUGAGACACGGCCCAAACUCCUACGGGAGGCAGCAGUGGGGAAUAUUGGACAAUGGGCGAAAGCCUGAUCCAGCCAUGCCGCGUGAGUGAUGAAGGCCUUAGGGUUGUAAAGCUCUUUUACCCGGGAAGAUAGUGACGGUACCGGGAGAAUAAGCCCCGGCUAACUUCGUGCCAGCCGCCGCGGUAAUU